Non-coding RNA from Camellia sinensis, 2584 nucleotides. The record is from RefSeq and is a predicted model, not a curated record. NCBI's taxonomy places the organism in Eukaryota, Viridiplantae, Streptophyta, Magnoliopsida, Ericales, Theaceae.
ACUUAAUGGUAUUAUGAAUUAAUUGCAGAAAGGAACGGUGUGAAAGAAUUGAUGACACUAUCCUCUGGAGUGUAUUAGCUUGACUACACAACACAAGAUCUGCAUCUGAUAAGCUUUGCAGACCUUUCCAACAGCUAACUUCUUUCCCUCGCUUGUGGUUGCAAAAUUAUGUGGUGCGCUUAUGCAAUCAUACUAUACUUCAAAGCUGUUGCUGGGAUCAAUUCAACUUCUCACUUUAUGCUCAAAGCAAUCAGAGGCAGAGCAUAAGUAAAAAUGAUUUUUACAUGGUUUGAUGUCACUUGUGGAGGAUUGUGAAAUUUGAUUGAAGAAUGGUUGUUUUCUUCACAAUAACAGAGUAGCUAUUUUGCCUAUUGCAUGGUUAGCUUUCUUGUUAUAUUAAUUAGAGUUUGUUUUGACAGCAUGUUACAAUAGGCAUGCUAUUAUAUUCUUCGCCUAAGUAGCAUUAAAUUUAAUGCUACUUUUUCUUUUGGAAUAUAGUACAUGUUGCAAUGCGCAUCAGAUUGUCAUAUUCUUAUUUAUUCUCAUUUUAUGUAGACAAUGCUCCAAAUAUUUAGUUGUGGCACCACCUUUCUAAACAAUGUUCCCAUCCAUUUUUGUUCUUUAUCCUUCGCUAUUUUAUAUUUUUUUGCUGUUAUUAACUGUGUGCUUUUCUUCUCCAUCCGUACCUCCGCCUGGCCUUCUUGAAUUAAUCUGUGUGCCAUAUUUUAAUCAGUGCAAUGUAUGGCUAUAAUUUUAUGGGAUGAGAUUAUUGAAUGAAAAAUGUUUUGUAGCUCGAAAGUUCCUCCCCCGAAUCCCCCAACAUUGUUUUGGGCAGUUUAUUUUUUUUUAAUUUUUUUUUUCUGAAACAGAGGGAGAGAGACGGAGAAACAGAGGAGAGGAGAGAGGGAGAAAGAGAGAGGAGGAGAGGAGAGAAGGGAAACAGAGAGAGAGAGACGGCGGGUGCGACGGUAGGUGUGGCGAUGGCGGUGCGAGCAACGGUGGAUGUCGAUCGCAGAUCGCAGCUCGUUGCUCGUGGCAGCUCGUCGGCCGAUCGCAGCUCGUCGGCUGAUCGUCUCCGCCCUGCCUCUGCCACUGCCUCUGCCUCCGCCUCCGCCUCCGCCCGGUUGAUAUUGCCCCCUCCAGUCCUUUUUCUUCUUCUUCUUCCUUCUCUUCUUCCUUCUUCCUUCAUCUUCUUCAUCUCUUGAUUUUUGGUUGAUUCGGGGGAUUCGAGGGCUCCAAAUUCAAGCUCCCUAGCACGGCUCUUAUUGAAUUUACCUAUAAAAAAUAGCUGAGAUGACAUUAUGAUGACAUCAUAACUUUUUGCCUUGAUAGUUGAUAGGGAGUGCUGACAGCAUUAUUUGAGGAAUUGUUAGCAUUGUUUAGGUGGUGUUUGGGUUGCCUGGACUGAGAAGGAAGUUUCGUGUUUGACCAUGUAAAAUAUAGUUUUAAGUUUUUUUUUGUGUGUGUGUGUGUGUGUGUUAAAUUUGAAAGCAGAUUCAGCCACAGGUAUUUGUUUGAGAACAAAUGAAACUGCUGCCUAUGAGUUAAAUGUUACAGUUACAGUUCUUUGUAGACUAAGUAAAAUUGAAGAGAACCUAUUGAAGAAAGUUCAAAAGAAAUUUCAAGAGAAUUUUUUAGGUUGUGUUUGGAUCUUGGAUUUAGUGAGAGAUUUGUGAAGGGAAUAGAAAAAAGGGAGGGAAAAAUGAAUGAAAUAGGUACUAAUUUUUUUAAAUAUAAAUCUCUUCCCCGUUUAUUUGACCUCCACAAAUCCAAGAUCCUAACAUACCCAUUGUCAAUUGACAAUCCUUACAAAGGGUGAACUGAUGCUCUACAGGAAGUGACCUUUUGGGAUAUAAAAAUGAAAAAUGAAGCUUAUAGGCUUACAAGGUCAGAUUCAAGUUUCUCCAGAAAUUCACCUAUAUGCAGCUUGGAAAGAUUGUCUUCUCAUAGUAAUGUCAAUCUUCAGUGUUAUUGGGUGACCUCUAGACAAGCUUAGCAAACAGAGGACAGUGAAGUUGAAAUGUUUGGGGAAAUCAGAUUGCUUUGGCUAGUAUUUAUGAUUUGUUUGUGCACUUGUUUUUUUUGGAAAAUUAAUCGUGAGCGAAUGAAUUACUAGAAAACAAAUCGUAAAACUUGUCUGACCUGGUGGAUUUUGGUAAGAUGAAUCACUUAGGAUAACUAACAGGACACUGAAUUUUUAAUCAAAUUAUAUGAUGCUUAUCAUUGUCAAUGUUUUACUUUGCAGGUCAUUUGAUGCGAGAGAGACUAGAUAUAAGACGAGCAAAACAUAGGAGAGAAAUGGUUGAGCUGCCUAUAGGUAGCCAGAAUGUAUGAAGUCUACAUCACUAAGGAGAGGAUCUAAAUUCCAAGCAGACCCAAAUCCUCAUGCCUCAUAUGAAGUCAGCUUGGACGUACAAUUAUCCCUCCUCUGUCCAGAUUAGAGGCGACAUCUGGACCCACAUGUCUUCGUGAAGUUGUUUUGACAUGGUUUAGUUGAUUUUCGAGAGGUAUUAACAUGGGAUUGUUUAUCCAACCACUUAAAUUAUACCACCAAAUUGAAGGCCUAUUCCUAUUUACAAGUAAA